GAUGAACGCUGGCGGCGUGCUUAACACAUGCAAGUCGAACGGAAAGGCCUCUGCUUGCAGGGGUACUCGAGUGGCGAACGGGUGAGUAACACGUGGGUGAUCUGCCCUGCACUUCGGGAUAAGCCUGGGAAACUGGGUCUAAUACCGGAUAGGACAAUGGUUUGGAUGCUGUUGUGGAAAGUUUUUCGGUGUGGGAUGAGCUCGCGGCCUAUCAGCUUGUUGGUGGGGUAAUGGCCUACCAAGGCGUCGACGGGUAGCCGGCCUGAGAGGGUGUACGGCCACAUUGGGACUGAGAUACGGCCCAGACUCCUACGGGAGGCAGCAGUGGGGAAUAUUGCACAAUGGGCGCAAGCCUGAUGCAGCGACGCCGCGUGGGGGAUGACGGCCUUCGGGGUGUAAACUCCUUUCGCUAGGGACGAAGCGUUUUUGUGACGGUACCUGGAGAAGAAGCACCGGCUAACUACGUG
Molecule: ribosomal RNA, 467 nt
Filed under: uncultured bacterium
Lineage: Bacteria
Description: partial 16S ribosomal RNA
Rfam family: Bacterial small subunit ribosomal RNA
Source: RNAcentral